Molecule: unclassified non-coding RNA, 354 nt
Filed under: uncultured Abrothallus
Lineage: Eukaryota; Fungi; Ascomycota; Dothideomycetes
Description: sequence contains ITS1
Rfam family: 5.8S ribosomal RNA (bases 1-105)
Source: RNAcentral
GAAAUGCGAUAAGUAAUGUGAAUUGCAGAAUUCAGUGAACCAUCGAAUCUUUGAACGCACAUUGCGCCCCCUGGCACUCCGGGGGGCACGCCUGUCCGAGCGUCAUCUCAAAACCCCAUCGGGCCUAAGUGCCCGGCCGUGGGGGCCACGCGCCCGAGGGGAUUGAAUCCCCAGGGUGCCCCCCCGAAACGCAGCGGCGACCCCGAGGUCCCCCGCGGAGAGCGAACGAGGCGUCCCGCCGUCGCACCCGUUGGAGGACCACAUUGGGGUAGGCCCACCGAACCCAGGGAUUUCCAUCCCCUGGAAUCAGCGAACCUUGACCUCGGAUCAGGCGGGGCUACCCGCUGAACUUAA